CAAUAGCGUAUAUUAAAGUUGUUGCAGUUAAAAGCUCGUAGUCGGAUUUCGGGUCGGGCCGAGCGGUCUGCCGAUAGGUAUGCACUGUUUGGCGCGGCCUUCUUUCCGGAGACCGCGGCUACUCUUAACUGAGCGGGCGUGGGAGACGGAUCGUUUACUUUGAAAAAUUAGAGUGUUCAAAGCAGGCGAUCGCUUGAAUACAUUAGCAUGGAAUAAUAGAAUAGGACUUUGGUUCUAUUUUGUUGGUUUCUAGGACCGAAGUAAUGAUUAAUAGGGACAGUUGGGGCGAUUAGUAUUUAAUUGUCAGAGGUGAAAUUCUUGGAUUUAUGAAAGACUAACUACUGCGAAAGCAUUUGCCAAGGAUGUUUUCAUUAAUCAAGAACGAAAGUUAGGGGAUCGAAGACGAUUAGAU
Molecule: ribosomal RNA, 412 nt
Filed under: uncultured eukaryote
Lineage: Eukaryota
Description: bacterial SSU rRNA
Rfam family: Eukaryotic small subunit ribosomal RNA
Source: RNAcentral